This 462-nucleotide ribosomal RNA is filed under the name Streptococcus mutans. Its description in RNAcentral is "bacterial SSU rRNA". It matches the Rfam family "Bacterial small subunit ribosomal RNA", at positions 28 to 466 of the family's 1533-position model. Lineage: Bacteria; Bacillati; Bacillota; Bacilli; Lactobacillales; Streptococcaceae. The record is from RNAcentral.
GACGAACGCUGGCGGCGUGCCUAAUACAUGCAAGUGGGACGCAAGGGAACACACUGUGCUUGCACACCGUGUUUUCUUGAGUCGCGAACGGGUGAGUAACGCGUAGGUAACCUGCCUAUUAGCGGGGGAUAACUAUUGGAAACGAUAGCUAAUACCGCAUAAUAUUAAUUAUUGCAUGAUAAUUGAUUGAAAGAUGCAAGCGCAUCACUAGUAGAUGGACCUGCGUUGUAUUAGCUAGUUGGUAAGGUAAGAGCUUACCAAGGCGACGAUACAUAGCCGACCUGAGAGGGUGAUCGGCCACACUGGGACUGAGACACGGCCCAGACUCCUACGGGAGGCAGCAGUAGGGAAUCUUCGGCAAUGGACGAAAGUCUGACCGAGCAACGCCGCGUGAGUGAAGAAGGUUUUCGGAUCGUAAAGCUCUGUUGUAAGUCAAGAACGUGUGUGAGAGUGGAAAGUUCA